Molecule: transfer RNA, 80 nt
Filed under: Polyporus arcularius HHB13444
Lineage: Eukaryota; Fungi; Basidiomycota; Agaricomycetes; Polyporales; Polyporaceae
Description: tRNA-Met
Source: RNAcentral
AGCAACUUGACGCAGUGGAAGCGUGCAGGGCUCAUAGUCUUGACACCCUGAAGUCCCUGGAUCGAAACCAGGAGUUGCUA